GACGAACGCUGGCGGCGUGCUUAACACAUGCAAGUCGAGCGGUAAGGCCCUUUCGGGGGUACACGAGCGGCGAACGGGUGAGUAACACGUGGGUGACCUGCCCUCAGCUCUGGGAUAAGCCCGGGAAACUGGGUCUAAUACCGGAUAUGACUCCACGGUGCAUGUCGUGGGGUGGAAAGCCUUGUGCGGCUGAGGAUGGGCCCGCGGCCUAUCAGCUUGUUGGUGGGGUGAUGGCCACCAAGGCGACGACGGGUAGCCGGCCUGAGAGGGCGACCGGCCACACUGGGACUGAGACACGGCCCAGACUCCUACGGGAGGCAGCAGUGGGGAAUCUUGCGCAAUGGGCGAAAGCCUGACGCAGCGACGCCGCGUGAGGGAUGACGG
Molecule: ribosomal RNA, 384 nt
Filed under: uncultured bacterium
Lineage: Bacteria
Description: bacterial SSU rRNA
Rfam family: Bacterial small subunit ribosomal RNA
Source: RNAcentral